AAUCUUUUGUAUCUGUGCUAAGAUUUCGCCACACACCAGAUCACAAGUGCUGAUGAGACUUCUCAGAUAAGUGAAGCG
RNAcentral lists this microRNA precursor (78 nucleotides) under Schistosoma mattheei. RNAcentral describes it as "mir-3492 microRNA precursor family". It matches the Rfam family "mir-3492 microRNA precursor family". Lineage: Eukaryota; Metazoa; Platyhelminthes; Trematoda; Strigeidida; Schistosomatidae. The record is from Rfam by way of RNAcentral.